Nycticebus coucang (slow loris) is the source of this 158-nucleotide long non-coding RNA. RefSeq lists it as uncharacterized. The record is from RefSeq and is a predicted model, not a curated record. The transcript has 3 exons. Lineage: Eukaryota; Metazoa; Chordata; Mammalia; Primates; Lorisidae.
CACAGCUUGGACAGCAUUUUGUGGAACAAAAUGGAUGCAAUUGGAUUAGAGGUGGCUUUGGACUUGUGUUCUUCUUCUACCUAUUCCCCUGAGAGUCCUGAACCACUGGCACAUGUGAUGGCAGAAUAUCUUCCUGUACAAGAGUCCCACCCUAUGCC